Equus asinus (donkey) is the source of this 1807-nucleotide long non-coding RNA. Lineage: Eukaryota; Metazoa; Chordata; Mammalia; Perissodactyla; Equidae. The record is from Ensembl.
AGGAAAGCAAGUGACUAAAUAGACUAAGAACAAGGAUCUGCGAAUCGUGUAACAUCACAUACGCAAAGAAAAGUAGCCUGUGGCAAAGAAAACACAUUGUCACCAGCUAAGAGAGCUGCUGCUGGACGGAAGGCUCUAAUGGCUUUGCUAGAGCUUCUGAGGAAUCCACGUUAACCUCCUGCUCAGUCUUUUGUGGAAGAGAUUAACCACAAGAGCAGCACCAUCGGCCCAGCCCCACUUUGCAGACAGCUGCCUGUGUGGACAGACUCAGUUUGAACCCAGACUUGUGUCCCGCUGGAGACUCCUCUGAAGGCCGCGGCUGAGUCAGGCUUUUUGAAGCGACCAUGCUUUCCGGAGCUCACCGAUUACUGAAGCUGUCUACUGAUGAGGACGUCCUGAUUCCCCGAAGCUGAGGUCGUGAACUUAGAGCAUAUUUUUAAAACUGUGUUAGAGAUCAUUUCAACAUUCAUGUGGGGAUGAGAAAAAAAAAUUUGACGAAUAAUUUAAAUGGUUACAUCUUGGCCCUGCCUAGGAUUGUGGAUUCAACCACAGUAUGACAAUGGGAUUACUGUGCAUGGUAUAUUUAAAUUCACCCCACAAAUGGCCUUGUUUUUUUAAAGGGACAGUCUCAUUCUAGAAUUAGAAAGAAAAAUGCUUUGGAAACCCAAAGAUCUCGCAAGCAUGUUCAGACAUUACUUCAUUGGCCCCUGUAGCCCCUUUCUAUCUCCCUUUUGAUUCGGUUCAGAUGCUGUGGCAAAGGAGGGUGCUGGGCCAAGGCCAGCCCCCUGCCAAUGCAGAGGUGUGCCUCAAAGAGGAUGGCACACACCCUGUGACAGCCGAGAGAAAACAGUGGUUGGCAGUUUGGUGUGGGAUUGGCAGCUGCCUUCCUUCUGUCCCUGGGGGUGCCAAAUGGGGGCAGGAGAGAAGAAGACUUUCAGAGCCGACUCAGUGAUCUGAUGGCUUGGUGACUCAGAGCCCAGAAGGCCCUGGGAGCCCCUGCCGACCCCCUCCUUGGGGGGCCAGUAAGGGCAUUUGGGAAAGGGCUCCAGGCCCUCAGUCAUCAUUUCAAAGCAAUCAGCCCCGAUUUUAUCUCCCUAAACUGUAACCCAACCUCCUGCUUCUACACACGAGGAAAAUGAGUCCCAAGGGAGUAAAAGGCCCCACCUAAGGUCACGAGGGGAGUAGUAGCAAGCCAAACCUCUUGGUCCCAAAAAACUGGGCAGGGAGGAAAAAUUGAGCAAGCAGGAGAAGGGAGAGAAAGAGAAGAAAAGGACAGAAGGAGAAAAUAAAGUGUUGGAUGUGUAGGACGUUUUUGCGUUCCUGACCAUGAUCUGCAGCCUGCUCACCACCCUGCAUGUGGCCUGCAUGUGACCUCACUGACCAUCCUGUGGGACACGCACCGUGGGAAGCGGCUGGAGACAUUCAAGGGAAGCAUACACCUUGGCCACUGCUCCUAUAGGAAUGGAAACUCCAGAAACGGAGCAUCACACCUGUCCCAGGCACUGUACACACAUGACCUCAUUCAAGAAAACUUGUUGCCCAUUUAGGAGUAACCUGCUCCUGCCGCUCGUGGGUUUGCUGAGGCAGGGCCCUGCUCCAUGGGCCCACCCUUCUCUGCAUCUGUGCACACCCACCUAUCCCCACAUUAUGAAUACCCACUGGGUUCCUGGCACAGGAAAGCUGGGAAGGCCUGUGAAGGCACUGGGGGAAAAAUAAAAGAAAGGGUAAUCCUAGUCAACAUGGUAAUAUUCUUCCUCUCUCUUUGCGACCUAAACAAGAAUCUUCCAUAUAGUUUAAAAAACAAAAC